AUACGUAGGGGACGAGCGUUGUCCGGAAUUACUGGGCGUAAAGGGCGCGCAGGCGGAUAUUUAAGUCAGCUGUAAAAGGCAUGAGCUCAACUCAUGUAUGCGGUUGAAACUGGGUAUCUAGAGUGCUGGAGAGGUAGGCGGGAUUCCCGGUGUAGCGGUGAAAUGCGUAGAUAUCGGGAAGAACACCAGUGGCGAAGGCGGCUUACUGGCCAGCAACUGACGCUGAGGCGCGAAAGCCAGGGGAGCGAACGGGAUUAGAUACCCCGGUAGUCCUGGCCGUAAACGAUGAAUGCUAGGUGUGGGUGUCGAGAGGCAUCCGUGCCGGAGUUAACGCGAUAAGCAUUCCGCCUGGGGAGUACGAUCGCAAGAUUGAAACUCGAAUGAAUUGACGGGG
Molecule: ribosomal RNA, 394 nt
Filed under: uncultured bacterium
Lineage: Bacteria
Description: partial 16S ribosomal RNA
Rfam family: Bacterial small subunit ribosomal RNA
Source: RNAcentral